GUAAUCUUACACUACAGUUCGUGUGACAGUUUAAAUAGUUUGUUGUGCCAGUUACCAUAGUUUGUUUAUUGGAAAUUUAACCUUCAAACCAACUUGAGUUGUAUCUGUUUUGAUAGUGGUAGAGUCAGUGCUACAUGAACUUGCUUAUGACAGCGGACCACGUUAGAUGGGCUUAAUUUGUUCAGCUUCUUAAUUUAGCCGACAGUGCUUGUAAAACACUUUCAGUAAAAUGAAUACCUUUUCACAAUCCUCCAUUGACAAGGGAUCUGAUAUUUUCGUAGACUUCAUGUGCUCGACCUGCGAAGACAAGAAACUGAAUAAUACAGCUGAUUUCUACUGUGAAUCAUGUGUUAAGUUUUACUGCGGAAAAUGUAUUUGCAUGCACAGCCAGUUGUUUACAAAACAUGUCCCCUUUGGAAGGGGAGAUAUGAAGAAAUGGCCAGUGUCCAAGAAGGUGGAAGAUUUUCUUCUAAAAUGUGAUGUCCAUAAAGACAAAAACCUUGAAAUGUUUUGUUCUGAACAUAGUGAGAUGUGCUGCACAAAUUGUGCAUUCCUUAAUCACAGACACUGCCAAAAGGUAACUCUUAUAUCUGACAUUGUAACAAGUCAGUUUUCAGACCUUAAACAUCUGUCAGUUUCUAUCCAAUCUAUUCUGAAAGAAAUGAAGGACCUUCAAGACAACCAGGAGGCUAGCAUUCAUUAUGUGCAAAGUUCAUAUGAUGAGCAGUUAAGCAGGAUACAAAAAGCUCGCAGAGAAAUAAAUGAAACCUUAGACACGAUUGAACAGAAAACACUGAAGGAAAUGAAAGAUACUCUAACCAAGCUGCAGGCCUCUACCAAAAGUGAAGCUGACAAAUGCAUCAGGCUUAGGGAUGAAUUGAAACAACUUCGAGACGCCAUACAGGACAUUAGUGAUAAAAACAAGCUGGAACUUUCCUUUAUAGCCACCAGGAAAUGCGAGGACAAAAUAGAACAGUCCAGAACUUUUCUGAACACGAACUCUCUUCAGGAUAAAUUCUAUAUAACAUUCCAGCCUAACAGUGAAAUUGUACAGUACUUGUCCAAGCUGUCUGGUCUUGGGAGGAUAGAACACAGUACCAAGACAUUGAGGGUACAAGAGAAGCCAAACAAGGUAAUCACUGUGCUGAGGAAGUCUGAAAACAAUGUGAAAAUAUCAAGUGAUUCAAAGGAAUGCGGGAUCACAGGCAUCCUUGUCCUCCCAGACAGACAGGUCCUGGUUGUAGACACCAAUAAUAAUAAUAUCAAGCUUCUUGACCAGCAGUACCAGGUGGUAAGUCACUGUAGUAUGACUAAGUGUCCCUUUGAUAUAUGUCAGAUCACAUCGAGUGAGGUGGCUGUGACUGUGAAUGAUGAUGUUAAGAACAACAUACAUGAGGUCCAGUUUAUCACAGUCAACAACAGGCAGCUGGUGCAAGGAAGAAAGCUUCAGUUACUACAUAGAUGUAACGGUAUUGCCUUCCACCAGGAAGACCUGUAUAUUACUUCUGAUACUGCUCUGUUCAAGUAUACACUGAAUGGGAAACUUGUCAGCAAGAUGUAUGAGGAUACAUCACAUGAUUAUACAGUAAUGAAUUGUGCUGUGAGUCCCACAGGGAACAAGUUGUACAUCACACAAUUCCACCAGCACAAGCUCCUCAUCCUGGCCAGGGAUGGUUCAGUCCUGGCCACCUUCACUGACCCUGCACUACAAUACCCACGUGGUGUACACGUGACACCUGCAGGACAGGUGCUCGUUUGUGGAGGCAUAUGGCCCGAUCCCUUCAUCCUACAGGUGGACAGUGAGGGCAAAAGGAAGCUGGCUACUCUUGGUAAUCUGGCUACUCUUGGUAUGGAGAAGAAUUGUAAGCUGAACCCAGCAUCCCUCUGCUACAACAGACACACUGUCUCCAUCAUUGUUGGACUUGAUUACAACAGCAUCAUGGUGUUCAACGUGCAAUAGGUUAAUUCUACAUGUAAAUAUGAUUUUUUAUACAGAUGAAUUAAAUUGCAAUUGAAUUGUGUUGUUGUGUUACUAAAACAUUGUAAGUGAUUUCAAGAUGCAUUUAUUUUGUAAAAAAAUAAUGUCACAAGUUCAAAGAAUGUUUAGAGUUUCUGUGAACAAAAGAACUGCUAAAUAGUGUAUAAUAGUGUUACAUCUAUUCAAAUUGCUUUUGUAUUCCUCAUUUACUUUACAAGUUGACAAAAAAUGCUGGUGAAAAAAACGCAAUCAAAUUAAGUUCCGAAUAUAGUAAUAUAGUGUCUGUUAUUUACAUAACAUCAACAUUACACUGUAACUAUGUAUAUAGGCUGUCAUUUCUUUAAUAUACACAACAAAUGUAUUGAAGAUAGCAUUGAAUUUUUGUUUUUGAUUUUAAUAUAUGAUGAUUUUUUUCCUGCACUGACAACAUGUUUCUUGGUAAUUUAUAAUAACUAAUUUAGCGUAGCUGUGUGACCCAGGUUUUGAUCAACAUUAAUAUCAAAGAAAUGUUGAGAAUGUUUUCAAUCAUGAAACCUGAAUGGAUAAAUCGCCCCAUUGGUGCAAAACGGUACCAUGUGACAUUUAAUAAAAAAGCGACAUGGUAUCUUUUUGCACUAAUGGGUAAAAAUGAUAAUUCAGCAUGUGCUAGCAUGAAACAUAUAGAAAUGCAACAUUGCGUUUUGCAAUAAUGUAAACCAACCCAUGAUGCUGGGUGGAAAGGGUUCUUAAAAUACAGCACAAGAGAUCUGCGAUCAGAGACAAAUGACCCCUAAACAGAGCCUUGACACAUGAUUAUUUGCAACACAGUGUUUACAAACACAAAUAAUACAUAUAUGCAAUGGCUACAAACUAGGAUUAUCCACAGAAUAUUGGGAACAAACUGCCUUUUUUAAAUGGGCUUGUCAGAUAGUAAUACAUGCACUUUUUGCAAAAUGUCAGACGAAUCAAUUACCCAUUUAUUCUGGGAAUGUAAUGCCGUACAAAAACUCAUAAAAGACAUCUCUGAAAUCUUAAAAAAUGCAAAUAUUCAAUACUUUAUUCAUUUCAAGGAGGAAAGUACAUUUUUGAGUGCAAAAGGAAAUAAGUUAUCCCAAAUUUUCAGGGAAUUAAGGCUAGACUAAGAUUUGCUUUAAAUGUUAAUGCAAACACAACAAGUCAAUCAAAUAAAGGAGUUUUUUUAUGUUUUAAGACUAAUAUGUAAUUCAUAAUUUUAUUAAUUCCAAAAUAAGUGUUGUCAACCAAGCAACUCCCAUUAUAUAUGUAAUAUGUUAUAUAUGUUAUUGUAAAUUGCACUAAAACAUGCUGUUUACUUAGCAACCAUCAUAAUGUAUGUAACUUUCAAAUUGUAAUUGCUUGCAUUAAGUUAUUUUUGUAUUCUAAAUUGCAAUUGAUUGUAUUGUAAAAAAUGCACUUUAUAUGUAAAAUCACAUGUUUGUUCAUAAUGUCCAUUAUAAAUACAUGAAUAACUAGCAAAUCUUACAGUAUACAGUUUUAUGUUAUAUGAACACUGUAAUCAUAGAUGUAAAUUGAAGGGUAGUUGUAAUGUUGAAUUUUUUUUUGUUAAGACGGGAGAUAUCGAUGUAAGACUUUCGAAAGACACACCGCCCAAUGAUUGUGAACAAUUGUAACUAGUAAUUUUAAAAUCUCACAAUGAAUGACAUAGUUAUGGCCUGGAAAAGAUCAUUUAUUGGCAUUUUUCACCUUUGAACUCACAGUGUGAGCUUGACGUUGCAGAUAUCGACACAAUUCUUUCGCAUGACACACCGUCCAAUGAUGGUGAACACAUGCGCCAAAUGAUUUUCAAUUUUCCCAAUGAACUGAAUAGUUAUGGCCCGGACAAGCUUAAUAAUGGCCAUUUUUUACCUUUGAAUUCGAAGUGUUACCUCGACCUUGGAGAUAUCGACGUAAGUCUUUCGCAUGACACACCGUCCAAUGAUGGUAAACACAUGUGCAAAAGGAUUUUAAAAUCUCACAAUGAACGACAUAGUUAUGGCCCGGACAAGCUUAUUUAUGGACAUUUUUGAAUUUUGAACUUAAAGUGUGACCUUGAACUUGGAGAUAUCGACGUAAUUCUUUUGCACGACACACCGUCCAAUGAUGGUGAACAAAUGUGCCAAAUGAUUAAAAUCUCACAAUGAACGACAUAGUUAUGGUCUGGGCAAGCUAAUUUAUGACCAUAUAUGAAUUUUGAACUCCAAGUGUGACCUUGACCUUUGAUAUACAUGUAUCUACGUUAUUCUUUUGUACGACACACCGUCCAAUGAUUGUGAACAAAUGUGCCAAAUGAUUUUAAAAUCUCACAAUAAACGACAUAGUUAUGGCCCUGACAAGCUUAUUUAUGGCUUUUUUUAAAUUUUGAACUCCAAGUGUGACCUUGGCCUUGGAGACAUUGACUUAAUUCUUUUUCACGACACACCGUCCAAUUAUGGUGAACAAAUGUACCAAAUGAUUGUAAAAUCUCACAAUGAACAACAUAGUUAUGGCCCGGACAAGCUUUUCCGCCUGAACGGCCGUUAGCCCGCCGACAUUCACCAAUCUAAUAACUAGUUUUCCUUAGAAAAUCCUGGUUAAAAAAAUCUACACAUUAUUGUUUGUCAGGAGCACGAUAAUUAUUGCAUAUGCCAAAUAGUUUGGUAAAUAUAUUGUAUCACAUGUUAUACCCUGUUUCCCAUGUAA
Dreissena polymorpha is the source of this 4654-nucleotide RNA transcript. RefSeq lists it as uncharacterized. The record is from RefSeq and is a predicted model, not a curated record. Lineage: Eukaryota; Metazoa; Mollusca; Bivalvia; Myida; Dreissenidae. The transcript has 4 exons.